RNAcentral lists this ribosomal RNA (257 nucleotides) under uncultured bacterium. RNAcentral's name for it is "partial 16S ribosomal RNA". It matches the Rfam family "Bacterial small subunit ribosomal RNA", at positions 524 to 776 of the family's 1533-position model. The record is from RNAcentral.
UACGUAGGGGGGCAAGCGUUGUCCGGAUUUAUUGGGCGUAAAGGGCGCGUAGGCGGCUCUGCACGUCCGUUGUGAAAUCGCCCGGCUCAACUGGGCGGGGUCAGCGGAUACGGCGGAGCUUGAGCAAGCUAGGGGGCAAUGGAAUUCCCGGUGUAGUGGUGGAAUGCGUAGAGUAUCGGGAGGAAUCACCAGUGGCGAAGGCGGCCUUCUCGGACCAAUACUGACGCUCAUGCACGAAAGCGUGGGGAGCAAACAGG